Molecule: ribosomal RNA, 253 nt
Filed under: uncultured bacterium
Lineage: Bacteria
Description: partial 16S ribosomal RNA
Rfam family: Bacterial small subunit ribosomal RNA
Source: RNAcentral
UACGUAGGGCGCAAGCGUUGUCCGGAAUUAUUGGGCGUAAAGAGCGUGUAGGCGGCCAGGUAGGUCUGGUGUGAAAACUCGAGGCUUAACCUCGAGAUGUCAUCGGAAACCAUCUGGCUAGAGUCCGGAAGAGGAGAGUGGAAUUCCUGGUGUAGCGGUGAAAUGCGCAGAUAUCAGGAGGAACACCGGUGGCGAAGGCGGGACUCUGGGCCGAUACUGACGCUGAGGAGCGAAAGCGUGGGGAGCAAACAGG